Molecule: long non-coding RNA, 2665 nt
Filed under: Homo sapiens (human)
Lineage: Eukaryota; Metazoa; Chordata; Mammalia; Primates; Hominidae
Description: HSALNT0336133
Source: RNAcentral
UGCCUUUGAGAUUAGUCUUUAAAAAGCGUUGCUGGGAGUAUCUGGAUGAUGUGGAAGCAGAAGUUGGGGAGUAUUGAGCCUGGGAUAUAAGGUCUAUAAAGUUAAAAAUGUUAAAUUAUAUCUCUGGUUGCAAUGGAUAAACCUAGAUUAUUUUGAUUUUUUAUUUUUUUGAGAGUGGGGGCCUCACUCUGUUGCCCAGGCUGGAGUGCAGUGGCACGAUCGUAGCUCACUAUAACCUCAAAUUCCUGUAUCUAGAUUUAAUUCAUAAAAUUUAGGGCUUAAAAUUGGCAUCUAACUCAGCUUAUUUUUCAGCUUCAUCAAUUUUGAGCAAAUGUGUCAAAACUUGGAGAGAGUUUUUUGCCCAAUAGUCGCAUGACCAAGUAAAAGUGAAGGAGGUGACAAGAGACUUGGACUGUGGUAGGUAGAAGCGGAUAGACUGAGAGCUACUUAAAUUAGUAGGAGUUGAGAAUUAACCAGAUUUGCAGGGUGACAAAGAAUAGCUCCCAAAUUUCUGGCUUAAGCAACUGGAUAUUUGGCACUACCAUUUGCUGAAAGAGCAUCUCCCCCACCCCAAAAGUAGGAAGGGAGAAGGAUAGGAAGACGGGUUCCAUUCCUGUUGAACUUGUGAGCCUGAGACACGUGAACGUAGACAUUAUUCACUGGACAUAUGGGUCACUGGAUAUAGGGGUCUACAGCUCAGAGGAGAGUUUUGAGCUGCAGAUGUAGACUUAGCAAACAAUGAUUAAAGCUGUGGGAAAUAUGCAAUUAUUUGGAGACAAUGUGAGGUGAGAGAAGAAGGGGCCAGAAAGAUCCCUGAACAACUUCAGUGUUUAGAGGUUGGAUACAGUAGGAGGAACUAGAAAAGGAGGAGAUAGAAAAAGCAGCCAGAGGAAGAGGAAAACCACAAGGAGCAGUGCCAGGAGAAUAAUUAGGAGAAGGGUGUGGUCAGCUGUUUCAAAUGCUGCUGAGACAUGAAAUCAGUGAGAACUCAGUGUCCUUUGGACUUGGAGACAGAAGUGAAGGUGAUCUUGGCAAGAGCAACUGCAAUGAAAUGGUGGUAAGAAAAAUCAGAUUGCUGGUGGUGGUGCAGAGACCUAUUCUUGGCCCCCAAUUGCAAAUCUCUCCUCUCUUCUUAGAAAUAGACCUCACAUUUUUUGUUCACGGCAUCCUAGAAUAAAAACUACAUUUCACAGUCUCCUUUGUGUGGUCUUGGGGCUAAGUGCUGGCCAAUGGAAUGUACGCAGAAGUGUCACAAGUGACUUCCAGGAAGCAUUCUUCAAGCUUCAAGGGAGGGGUGGGCCCUUUUUGUUGCCUUCCUCCUUCCUAUUGGCCAGAAAGCGUAAGCAUCAUAUUGGACCAUGAGGUAGUGAGGAACAUUUGGAAGCCACAAGUUGAGAAUGGCAAAACCUGAGAGAAAUUAAGUGAGGUGAAUCACGAAAGUGAGUAUAGGCAGCUCUUUUAAGAAGUCUGACUGGGAAGAGAAAGACCAGCAGCAGGGGAAGGAAUAUGUUGUCAAGGCAGUGGGGGCGGGGGGAGCUAUUUUACAGUGGAUUUUAUGAUCCUGGCACAUACAUGAUCAAUAAGUAAUUGUUGGUUGCAAGAUUAGAGGGAUGCAUGGAUGGGAAAUCCAAGUAUGUAGAAAAGAAGCAGCUAGUUCAAGGCCCCUGAGAAGGUAGCAGCAGAUGGGCCCUUUACAUAGGGAUUGCCCUGGGGAAGAAAAGGGACAUCCUUUCCAUGUUCACAGGAGGGAAGGAGAAGCAGCAGAGUACAGAUGUAGGUAGGCUGGGAGACAGGGAGAAGAUGGCAUUCCUGUCUGAGGGUUUCUAAUUUCUCUGUGAAGUGGGAGAUGAAAGGAUGAGGUGUUGGGGGGAGCGUAUGAAGAUCUGAGGAGACAAGGCAGAUUUAAAACAGUUGCUGCAGAGAGGAGGAGACAGCGAGCUGACCCAACCCUCAGCUCCAGUGGAGAAGCAGGGCUUCAUCUUCUGGACACCAGCACAUCUUAGAUUGUGCCUUCCUUGUCAACACCAAGGCAAGCUGAGCCAGGAGGAUAGUGGAAGGUCACACAGGUAGAAAACCUGCUGACCAAACUGCCCCUGGUAAGAGUUACUUGGGAAGCUGAACCAAAGAUUUUUGCUGCUAUGUUGACUCACAGUAGAAUGUGAGCAGACAAGACACUGUAGAUGAGCCACUCCUGAGGAGCUCUGUUAAAUAUAGAUAAAGUGGAGGAGGGAGUCAGGCUGGCUGCCUUCCUAUUUAGGAUCUAGCAGAAACCCCAUUAGGAAAUAUUCCGUUCUGAAUGGCUUCUGGCUAAAUGGCUUGUGAGGAAACAGCCUGAUCAAUGCACCAGACCUAAUACAUUUUGGGUUCGAUCCCUUAAUAUGUGUAAGCAUUUACACUGCAAGUAAGAGGAAAUUCUCGCUGGAAUGACCAGGCCAAGAAAAGAAAAAUGGAAACGACCUAAAAUGCCUAACAAUGGAAAUGAGUUGAAUCCAUCUGGCUCAUAGACAUGACGAAAUACUGAAUGGCCACCAUAAAUGGACAUAUGUUUAUUGAUGAGGAAAGAUCUUUAUAACAUAUUGUCAAGUGAACAAAAAAGCAUGCUAUAAAAAAAGGUCAUGCAGAAUAAUCUUAUUUUGUAAAAAAAAAAAAAGUGUGUAUUAGUCCA